AACGAACGCUGGCGGCGUGGAUAAGACAUGCAAGUCGAACGCUAAUACUCAGGUAGCAAUAUUUGAGUGUUGGAGUGGCGCAAGGGUGUGUAACACGUGGGCAAUCUGCCGUAAAGUCUGGGAUAACUCGCUGAAAAGGCGAGCUAAUACCGGAUGUGAUCGAGAGAUCAAAGUUGGGGACCGCAAGGCCUGACGCUUUACGAUGAGCCCGCGGCCUAUCAGCUAGUUGGUGAGGUAACGGCUCACCAAGGCUAAGACGGGUAGCUGGUCUGAGAGGACGACCAGCCACACUGGAACUGAGACACGGUCCAGACACCUACGGGUGGCAGCAGUCGAGAAUUUUUCUCAAUGGGCGAAAGCCUGAAGGAGCGACGCCGCGUGGGGGAUGAA
Molecule: ribosomal RNA, 390 nt
Filed under: uncultured Verrucomicrobiota bacterium
Lineage: Bacteria; Pseudomonadati; Verrucomicrobiota
Description: bacterial SSU rRNA
Rfam family: Bacterial small subunit ribosomal RNA
Source: RNAcentral